Molecule: non-coding RNA, 613 nt
Organism: Sesamum indicum (sesame)
Lineage: Eukaryota; Viridiplantae; Streptophyta; Magnoliopsida; Lamiales; Pedaliaceae
Source: RefSeq, a predicted model, not a curated record
CUGCCUCCUGCUCUUUUUCCCUCCCUCCCUCUGCUGCUGCGUCGCUUGUCCUCCCUCCCGCUGUUCGCCGCCUCUUCGCUGCUGAUUUCUCCAUCUCCAGGUAAUGUCUAGUGGUACGCCGCCUCUCCCGCGUGGUUGAGGGCGUGGCCGCGGUCGUGGCCCGAUACUGCCACCAGUACCGUCAAAUGCUUCCCAGGUUGGGGAAGCAUCCCCUAGGCUACCCACAGCCCCUCGUAUGCCCGUACUGUCUCCCACCCCGCAGAUUCCUGAUAAUGCUCAUAAAUCUGGAGCUUCAUGCACGGCUCCAAACCGGCGGCUACUCCACCACCAUCACCAACAAUCCCCCACAAUUAGCAUACCAGUACAUCAGCCUCCAUGACGCCAGGGACAUUUCCCCACCCGUGGCCGUGUCUGAGGCAGGUGCCACCAGCGCAUCAGCAUUUCUAGUUUGAGAGCAUGAAGUGAAAAUAACCCACUAGUGGGACUGCGACGAUGAGUCCCUAUUUCGUGUCUUCCACAUAUGGGCCUGGAAGUACAUUAAGAAGACCUUCUCGGUCGUCCGAUCCUGUCUGGUCAGGCCGCUAUAGUUGGCCAACGAGAUCUAGCUCCAACU